This is a long non-coding RNA of Magnolia sinica, 260 nucleotides long. RefSeq lists it as uncharacterized. NCBI's taxonomy places the organism in Eukaryota, Viridiplantae, Streptophyta, Magnoliopsida, Magnoliales, Magnoliaceae. The record is from RefSeq and is a predicted model, not a curated record. The transcript is spliced from 2 exons.
AAUAAAGAUGGUGUACAUGUAUAUCCCUCUAUUUAUAUGUAAGCAGGCAGAUGAGACAGGAAGAAAAAAAAAAAAAAACUAAAGUAAAGAAAAUGGAGAAGCUAUUCCAGAAGGCUGUUUGGGCCUGCGUUCUUGCCUUUCUAGUGUUGCUUGGAUCAUGGUUUCUUAUGAUAGAUUUAAGGAGCACAGACUUCCAUACUCCUCUUCAAGGGAUUGCAAUACAUAGAAGGGGAAUGGAGUUCUCAGUCAAUCGAGUAUCU